ACGUAAUAAUUAUUUAUAUCUUACGUACAUGUAAUAUGUAUAUACACAUAGUGCAAAGGUGACUGAUUUAGUCAUCAACGUCCUGCUCAAACCGCUGUACCUACACACGUGAAAUUUGGAAAGUAUAUCUAUUUUUUGACGCAGAUGUUGGGUAAGAAAGGAUUUUUAAAAAUGCGGACUCUAAAGGGGUAAAAAGAGGAUAAAAUUGUAUGGUUACCUGAUAAUUAUACUUCUAUGUACACUAAAGUUAGAGGCUUGAAAUUCAGCAUGUGAACUCCUCGUUAAAAAUAAACAUACACAUGUUUGAGCGUUUUUUUAAAAGCAACCCUUGUGAGAAAGGGGUGAGCAAGGGGCAAGUUACUUUCUCAAAGGACCCUAUCUCUAUAUUCACCAAAGAUAGAAACGUGAAAUUCAACCUUAUGAACUCCUCAUUAAAAUUAAACAUACACGUGUUUGAGCAUUUUUCCAAAUGCACCCUUUUGAGAAAGGGGUGAACAGGAGACAAGUUACUUUCUCAAAGGACCCUAUCUCUACAUCCACCAAAGUUAGAAACGUGAAAUUCGACAUAUAAACUCCUCAUUAAAAAUAAGCAAACACGUGUCUGAUCGUUUUUCGAAAUCCAAGCCGAAGCUGAAAUUUCCCGACGUCGCCAACGCCUCACGAAAUUAUCGGGCGACAGUAACAGAUACCUCGGGUGGAUUAAAAU
This 706-nucleotide unclassified non-coding RNA is filed under the name Bombus terrestris (buff-tailed bumblebee). Its description in RNAcentral is "misc RNA ENSBTSG00005030647.1". The record is from RNAcentral. Lineage: Eukaryota; Metazoa; Arthropoda; Insecta; Hymenoptera; Apidae.